GCGCGAUCGCCUUGAGUUUGAUAUGGCUCAGGAUGAACGCUAGCGGCAGGCUUAAUACAUGCAAGUCGAGGGGCAGCAUGGUGUAGCAAUACACUGAUGGCGACCGGCAAACGGGUGCGGAACACGUACACAACCUUCCUUUAAGCGGGGGAUAGCCCAGAGAAAUUUGGAUUAAUACCCCAUAGAAUGGUGAUGAGGCAUCUCAUUAUCAUUAAAGAUUUAUCACUUGAAGAUGGGUGUGCGUCUGAUUAGGUAGUUGGCGGGGUAACGGCCCACCAAGCCAUCGAUCAGUAACUGGUGUGAGAGCACGACCAGUCACACGGGCACUGAGACACGGGCCCGACUCCUACGGGAGGCAGCAGUAAGGAAUAUUGGUCAAUGGACGCAAGUCUGAACCAGCCAUGCCGCGUGGAGGAUGAAGGUCCUCUGGAUUGUAAACUUCUUUUAUUUGGGAAGAAAUGCAUCUUUUCUAAGGUGUUUGACGGUACCAGAUGAAUAAGCACCGGCUAACUCCGUGCCAGCAGCCGCGGUAAUACGGAGGGUGCAAGCGUUAUCCGGAUUCACUGGGUUUAAAGGGUGCGUAGGUGGGCAGUUAAGUCAGUGGUGAAAUCUCCGGGCUCAACCCGGAAACUGCCAUUGAUACUAUCUGUCUUGAAUAUCGUUGAGGUAAGCGGAAUAUGUCAUGUAGCGGUGAAAUGCUUAGAUAUGACAUAGAACACCAAUUGCGAAGGCAGCUUGCUAACCGAAUAUUGACACUGAGGCACGAAAGC
Molecule: ribosomal RNA, 770 nt
Filed under: uncultured bacterium
Lineage: Bacteria
Description: bacterial SSU rRNA
Rfam family: Bacterial small subunit ribosomal RNA
Source: RNAcentral